GGCCCCGUGGUGUAGUGGCUUGCACGCUGGGGAUAUAUUUGAGAUAUUAUAACAUCUAAAGUAUAUUAAGAGGUCGCAGUUCGAAUCUGUGCGGGGCCA
This is a non-coding RNA of Trichophaea hybrida, 99 nucleotides long. Lineage: Eukaryota; Fungi; Ascomycota; Pezizomycetes; Pezizales; Pyronemataceae. The record is from the annotation of a GenBank genome assembly.